Long non-coding RNA from Calidris pygmaea (Spoon-billed sandpiper), 1841 nucleotides. The record is from Ensembl. Lineage: Eukaryota; Metazoa; Chordata; Aves; Charadriiformes; Scolopacidae.
UGGGAAAACACAUGGAAUUAGGUAAUUUUGUCUUUCCUCCUUCCCAAAGAGCCUUUAUUUAUUGUUUCUACAUUACACCUUGACUAGAUUUUAUUCCAGAAUUUGGAUGUUAAAGCGUUUUCCCAUUUUAUGCCUGCAGCCUCCCUUGUAACCGCACAAGCUACCGAUGAGGAGGUACGUAUCACAGCAGGGGAUCUGGCACGGCGUGUGUGUGUGUCUUCCUCUGCUUGGAAAGAGCAGGGACAAAUAUUAGUCUGAGAUGAAAGUGAAUGUCUUCACUUCGUUAGGAACAGGGCACUGAUAAUGACUCUGCCUCACAUGCUUGGCUAGCCUUGUGCCAUGCCCUGGGAGGCCGCCAAACUUGUGUUCAGCUGAUCCCUCGCUAUCUGCUAGGGAAGGCAGAGCCAAUGCCCACUCAACGGGACUUUGUCCUCCUGAUGGCAGGCAGCUUAUGAAACGUCAGCCUUUGCGUGUGCUGGCAUGGCAGAAAGGCUCUGCCCCUCACAAUAACGCCGUUCUCUGUGGACUCAGCUGGGAAAGGCUAGCACAAAGCUAAACCUGAGCGCCGGCAGGCUUAGAGCACUUUUCAGCAAGUUCUCAUCAGUUAUUGACAGUGCCCCAGGCAAUGACUGCAGGUUGGAUGGGCUUUCCACAGCAGGAGCAGAUGAAUGAUGCUUACCCUACAUUUAUGAGGAGUCAUCUGGCCCGUUCCUACUCUAAAAAACAACAAUCCAGUACCCAAACCUCAGAGGAGAGUCUGAGCUGUGUUCCUGGGCUGCCUGUGGAGGCCUCAGGACAGAAGCAGGUCUGUUCCUCAUAUGUGUGCACCAGUGCCUACUAGGCUUCAUGUGAAUUGUGUUGCCUGGCAUCAGACACAGCAAAAAGGGGAAAAAUCAACUCCCAAGAAGGCGUAAGAAGAGAGGAGGAGAACAUUAGUCAUGAGCUCCUUGUUUUGACUGAUGUGGUCAGCUCCGUACGUUUAACUUCCAUUCAGAAAUGUUCAUCUUUCAUUCAAGGAAGGUAACUCCUUGUACAAAUGUGACCUGGAGACACAACUUCCAAAGUCUGAUUUGGGAUUCCCUGAAAGCAGGCAUUGCCCAGUGGUGUGACUUGUGUGCAGACAUAGUGACCAGCAUGUAAUGUUCCUGCUGAGGUCUCUUCAUGCAUCAAAACUGUAGCAGAGGUUGUGGUACCUAUGUUGGCUCCUCCAUACACUGCUGUUUGCUGCUCUCAGAGGUUAAAAAAAUAUUUUCUUAUUUUUGAAAGGGAAACACUGAAACAUAUAUCUAAUAUCUAAUCUACUGUGCUGCUUUUGUCAGAUUCCCUUGGGGGGCAAUUGCACUUAGGAUUUCUUGUAGAGCAGUAGAAGAUAGCUGUGUCUCUGUCGUUACCUCCGUGUACUGGUCUGCUUGUCCAUGCAAGAUGGGUAUUUUGUACGUGGUUCUCUGUGUAUACGCCUCCAAAUGUAUCUUCUUGUAUGUUAGGAUCUGUGUGCAUCAGGGCAUGGGCCCUAUUUUGUGUCUCCAUAUGUCUCUGUGCAGGUCCAUUCCUCUGUACCAAGAACAUGAGAAAGGUAGUGAAGGUACAUGAGAAUGUAAUGAAAUCCAUAUGCUGCUAAAUUAAAGAGCACUAGAAAUGUGGCUGGAAUAAUCCUGUCACUCUGAUAGCUUAGACUAGAGCUGUGCAGGGUGCACAGACUGGGAAUACUGGUAGAACAUCAAACAACCUUGCAGGUGCACCACUCUCGGGUCUUCAGAUACUGCCCCUGUGUGUGCUCUCCAUUUACAACAUGCAAAUUCUGGGAGGGUUGACCUUCACUGCCUGGCAGUAGCACAGGGGCU